CACUGGAUUCUGCUAGUAAUUAAAGUUGACACCUCAGAAUGUCUCGUCCACGACUCUCUGAAUAAGGAUCCAAAGCUUUGGGUCGACAUGAGAAGAAUGCUGCAGAAGUAAUUAUUUUCAUUCAUUUGCGCUCUAUAUCGAUCGGCCUAUUUCGUUCAUUUCCUAAUAUCAAGUAACUAAUAACUCUCUUGUUCAUUUAAUUUUCUUUUCCUCGUAGGGUUUGGAGACGGUUCGUAGAUACAAAGGUCGGUGAAUUCAAAAAAGAGCUAGAAUUCAAAAGGGCAAAGGCUAAGAAUGGUGAGGAUAUUCAGCCAGCGGGGACCAAUCUAUGUGCAUACUAUGUCUGUGAGAUGAUCCGGAGAUACACCUCUGAGCGGGUUCCGAGUGAUACCAAUGCUCAGAGGAAUAACCUCCAGAUGAUGCUUAGUCCAGAAGCUCGCUUCCGACCACUUCAAGAGGAAUUAGCUGGAUGGUUCAGGAGGUAAGUCCUCCAUCCUAAAGGAGAACACCAUUACGAGGACGUAGAACUUUAUAUGCAUUAAAUUAUGUAUGGAAACUUGUUCAAAAUUGUAUAUG
Molecule: ribosomal RNA, 576 nt
Filed under: Triticum aestivum (bread wheat)
Lineage: Eukaryota; Viridiplantae; Streptophyta; Magnoliopsida; Poales; Poaceae
Description: partial small subunit ribosomal RNA
Source: RNAcentral